Molecule: long non-coding RNA, 2155 nt
Organism: Ictalurus punctatus (channel catfish)
Lineage: Eukaryota; Metazoa; Chordata; Actinopteri; Siluriformes; Ictaluridae
Source: Ensembl
ACAUUUCCCUCCAUCAUCUCUGUCCUGAUUCAUUAACAGGAGAAAUUUCUUCCACAGCUUUUUCUCCUCCAGUCCACAGCCGUCUCACUACAUUCCAGAUCAUUCAGAGUAAAAUGAAUCAGACUGCGGCUCGGGCAGCUUGCAGAGAAAAUUACACCGACCUCGUCACUGUGUACUCUGAUGAAGACACACUGACCUGCAUAAUAUGAAGAAGACUUAUCGUGGAGAAGGCUGGAUCGGUCUCUAUCGCAGUAACUUCAGUGAGAAAUGGUCUAAUGGUGAUCCUGUAACAUUCAGAAAUCUGGCAGGGGAUUGUGGGAAUUCGAGCUACUGUGCUGCUAUGAAGGCUGAUGGUUCAUGGGAAAGUCUUCAGUGCACAGAGACGCGAUAUUUCAUGUGCUAUGAAGAAGAUGCUUCUUCACAGACUCCUAAUUAUCAUCUAAUCCUUGAGAGUAAGACCUGGUCUGGUGCUCAGAGUUACUGCAGGGGGAAAUACACUGACCUGGUCAGUAUCAGAGAUCAGCAGCAGAAUGAAGAGGUGAAGAUUAAAGGGUUAACAGCACCACGUCCUUCUGGAUCGGCCUGCCUGUGUGAUGACUGGCAGUGGACCGAUGGAGGAAACUCCGCCUUCAGAAACUGGGGAGUGGUGAACCUUGGGAUCACCAUCAGAGGACUGUGUAGUAUUGAGUGGAGGGAAAUGGUAUUCAUUUUCAUGCACUGACCUGAAUCCCCCUCUGUGCUACAGCGCUUCCAUCCAUGUGAGUGAUGAGGCUCUGAGCUGGGAGGAAGCGCUGGAUUACUGUCGUGAAGGGAACAGGGCUGGAAUUCUCAACAUCGAUUCUGAAUCUGAACAGGAAGAGCUGGAGUCUGAGCUCAAGAGGGGGCGUGUCUCUGAGCCGGUGUGGGUGGGGCUUAGACAGAGCCGACUCUUUGGGUUCUGGAUCUGGGCCGAUGGGAAGGCCGUGUUUCCGUACUCCUACUGGGAUGAAGGGAAACAGCCCGAGCAUUAUCUCUCUCAGCACUGCGGCGCCGUCGAUCCACGGAGCGACUUCAGAUGGAGAGAUAUGAACUGUCAGUCUCGGUAUAAAGCUCUGUGUCUCAUCAAAUGCUCUCCAUGAACCUCCUCCAUAUUAUAUAUAUUUAUAUAUUUAUAUUAUUCAUUUCAAGCUUGAACUGGUCUGUAGGUAAUAGUUUUUAUUAUUUCAAGUCUUUAUUUCUAGAAAGAAGCAAAAUUAUUUUUCUUGAAAUUUAAGAAAAUUUAAGCUUGACAUGUGUAAAUGAGUUCAUGCUAUUAGUUAUAUUAUAUAUUAUUAUUAUAUAUUAUAUUAUAAAAUCAUUCUGAGGAACUUUAACUAACUUUUCCUUUAUUCCAAAUUAAUUCAUUUCCUAAGAAAACAUUAUGCAGUGUAAGAGUUCUAACUGUUUCCCCCAAUACUGUACUCUCACUCUGUCUCUGUCUCUCUGUCUCUCUCUCUGUGUCUGUCUGUCUCUCUCUCUGUCUCUCUCUCUCUGUCUGUCUCUCUGUCUCUCUCUCUGUCUGUCUCUCUCUCUCUGUCUGUCUGUCUGUCUCUCUCUCUGUCUCUCUCUCUCAAUCUCUCUCUGUUUCUCUCUCUCUGUCUCUCUCUCUAUGUCUGUCUCUCUCUCCCUGUCUCUCUCUCUGUCUGUCUGUCUCUGUCUCUCUCUCUGUCUCUCUCUCUGUCUGUCUCUCUCUCUCUCUGUCUGUCUCUGUCUCUCUCUCUCUGUCUCACUCUCUCUCAGUCUCUCUCUCAGUCUCUCUCUCACUCUCUCUCUCAGGAUUGUGGGUAGUGGGAGGAGUCGGGAGUUUUGCGAGCACGAUUUUGAGAGUUUGUUACUUUUAAUCAAUUUCUUCGUUCUUCGUGGAAAAAAGAUUCGUGGAAAAAAGAUUAAUCUUAGACAUCAAACUUCUUUGAGCGCCGACUUCGGUCGGAAAACUUUGACAAAAGGGGAGGGGAGAUUUCCCAGGUUGACUCUGAGACAUGGAUUUACAUGUACACCUGAUGACUCCGUAUCUGUGGAAGAUGUGCUGGUUGCAGUCAGUGAACAGCUCCUGUUCUCUCUGAUCACGUGAUCGUGUGGAUGUUAAAGGGGUUUGAUUUGAACAUUAGACUCCAUUCAGCAGCGAGCACCUCAUCAG